RNAcentral lists this long non-coding RNA (350 nucleotides) under Rattus norvegicus (Norway rat). RNAcentral's name for it is "long non-coding RNA NONRATT022062". The record is from RNAcentral. Lineage: Eukaryota; Metazoa; Chordata; Mammalia; Rodentia; Muridae.
UCUGAAGUGCGGUUGCCCCCAACACUUCUCCCAAAGUAUCUAUCAAGAGAAUGGUCAGCAGAAAUUAGAUCUAGAUCAGUAGUUAAUCUUCCGGAAUGAGUGUAAAUGACUCUGGCACCCCUGGGCUUUUAACCGCUUUCUCAGUAUGCUGGGUUCCCUUCACGGAGCAAGAACAGAACAAGUAACCAGGUAAAAUGAUGCAAAUACAUUUUUUAGACCUACACCUGAAUUAUAUUUCCGUUGUCUCUUAGCUUUCGGAGAAAUCAACCAAGACAGUGAAGACAGAGAAAAUGCAUUCUGGACCCGCUACUGUUUCCAACCUUCAUUUCAAAUAAAGCCCAUAGUUUAUU